GACGAAGGAUGCAAGCGUUAUCCGGAUUCAUUGGGUUUAAAGGGAGCGUAGGCGGAUUGGUAAGUCAGUGGUGAAAUCUGUGGGCUUAACCCACAAACUGCCAUUGAUACUGCUGAUCUAGAGUACAGUUGCCGUUGGCGGAAUAUGACAUGUAGUGGUGAAAUACUUAGAUAUGACACAGAACUCCGAUUGCGAAGGCAGCUCACUAAACUGUAACUGACGCUGAGGCCCGAAAGCGUGGGGAUCAAACAGG
RNAcentral lists this ribosomal RNA (253 nucleotides) under uncultured bacterium. RNAcentral describes it as "partial 16S ribosomal RNA". It matches the Rfam family "Bacterial small subunit ribosomal RNA", at positions 524 to 776 of the family's 1533-position model. The record is from RNAcentral.